Molecule: ribosomal RNA, 253 nt
Filed under: uncultured bacterium
Lineage: Bacteria
Description: partial 16S ribosomal RNA
Rfam family: Bacterial small subunit ribosomal RNA
Source: RNAcentral
UACGUAGGGUCCGAGCGUUGUCCGGAAUUAUUGGGCGUAAAGGGCUCGUAGGCGGUUUGUUGCGUCGGGAGUGAAAACCUCGGGCUUAACUCGGGGCUUGCUUUCGAUACGGGCAGACUUGAGGCAUUCAGGGGAGAACGGAAUUUCUGGUGUAGCGGUGAAAUGCGCAGAUAUCAGGAGGAACACCGGUGGCGAAGGCGGGACUCUGGGCCAGUACUGACGCUGAUGCGCGAAAGCGUGGGGAGCAAACAGG